GAUGAACGCUGGCGGUAUGCUUUACACAUGCAAGUCAUACGGAAGUUAGUUUCGGCUAACUUCAGUGGCGGACGGGUGAGUAACACGUGAGAAUUCGCCUUUAGGAGGGGGAUAACAGGGGGAAACGCCUGCUAAAACCCCAUAUGCCUUCGGGUCAAAAGAGUAAUCUGCCUAAAGAGAAGCUCGCGGCUGAUUAGCUAGUUGGUGGGGUAAAGGCCUACCAAGGCGACGAUCAGUAGCUGGUCUGAGAGGACGAUCAGCCACACUGGAACUGAGACACGGUCCAGACUCCUACGGGAGGCAGCAGUGAGGAAUUUUCUGCAAUGGGCGAAAGCCUGACAGAGCAAUACCGCGUGAGGGAAGAAGGCUUACUGAGUUGUAAACCUCUGUUACCUAAGGAGGAAGAUCUGACGUUACUUAGGAGACGAAGCAUCGGCUAACUCCGUGCCAGCCGCCGCAGUAA
RNAcentral lists this ribosomal RNA (463 nucleotides) under uncultured bacterium. RNAcentral describes it as "partial 16S ribosomal RNA". It matches the Rfam family "Bacterial small subunit ribosomal RNA", at positions 28 to 523 of the family's 1533-position model. The record is from RNAcentral.